Molecule: ribosomal RNA, 247 nt
Filed under: uncultured bacterium
Lineage: Bacteria
Description: partial 16S ribosomal RNA
Rfam family: Bacterial small subunit ribosomal RNA
Source: RNAcentral
AUACGGGGGGUGCAAGCGUUAUUCGGAAUUAUUGGGCGUAAAGAGCGCGUAGGCGGUUUUUUAAGUCAGAUGUGAAAGCCCGGGGCUCAACCUCGGAAGUGCAUUUGAUACUAUGAAACUUGAGUAUGGGAGAGGGAAGUGGAAUUCCUGGUGUAGAGGUGAAAUUCGUAGAUAUGCGGAGGAACACCAGUGGCGAAAGCGGCCUCCUGGCCCAUUUCUGACGCUCAGACACGAAAGCUAAGGUAGC